Molecule: ribosomal RNA, 228 nt
Filed under: uncultured bacterium
Lineage: Bacteria
Description: partial 16S ribosomal RNA
Rfam family: Bacterial small subunit ribosomal RNA
Source: RNAcentral
AGCGUAGGUGGUUAUAUAAGUCUUCUGUAAAAGGCAUUGGCUUAACCAAUGUAGGCAGGAGAAACUAUAUAACUUGAGUACAGUAGAGGUAAGUGGAAUUCCUAGUGUAGCGGUGAAAUGCGUAGAUAUUAGGAGGAACACCAGUGGCGAAGGCGACUUACUGGGCUGUAACUGACACUGAGGCUCGAAAGCGUGGGGAGCAAACAGGAUUAGAUACCCUGGUAGUCC